This 254-nucleotide ribosomal RNA is filed under the name uncultured bacterium. Its description in RNAcentral is "partial 16S ribosomal RNA". It matches the Rfam family "Bacterial small subunit ribosomal RNA", at positions 524 to 776 of the family's 1533-position model. The record is from RNAcentral.
UACGUAGGGUGCAAGCGUUAAUCGGAAUUACUGGGCGUAAAGCGUGCGCAGGCGGUUAUGUAAGACAGGUGUGAAAUCCCCGGGCUUAACCUGGGAACUGCAUUUGUGACUGCAUAGCUAGAGUACGGUAGAGGGGGAUGGAAUUCCGCGUGUAGCAGUGAAAUGCGUAGAUAUGCGGAGGAACACCGAUGGCGAAGGCAGCCCCCUGGGUCAAAAACUGACGCUCAUGCACGAAAGCGUGGGGAGCAAACAGG